UACGUAGGGGGCUAGCGUUGUCCGGAUUUAUUGGGCGUAAAGCGCGUGUAGGCGGCUCUUCAAGUCAGACGUGAAAGCCCCGGGCUUAACCCGGGAACUGCGUUUGAUACUGUCGAGCUAGAGUGUGGAAGGGGCGAUUGGAAUUCCGUGUGUAGCGGUGAAAUGCGUAGAUAUACGGAGGAACACCAGAGGCGAAGGCGGAUCGCUGGGCCAACACUGACGCUGAGACGCGAAAGCUAGGGGAGCAAACGGG
This 253-nucleotide ribosomal RNA is filed under the name uncultured bacterium. Its description in RNAcentral is "partial 16S ribosomal RNA". It matches the Rfam family "Bacterial small subunit ribosomal RNA", at positions 524 to 776 of the family's 1533-position model. The record is from RNAcentral.